Molecule: long non-coding RNA, 325 nt
Organism: Temnothorax curvispinosus
Lineage: Eukaryota; Metazoa; Arthropoda; Insecta; Hymenoptera; Formicidae
Exons: 3
Source: RefSeq, a predicted model, not a curated record
AUCUCCGAGAGAUCGGGCAAACUCCCGCUAGUUAUCGACUUGAUAGACGUGACUGUAAUUUUGUGGUCACCGAAGGCGCUGCUAAACAUGACAGACACCAGCAUAUAGGUGAAAUAACGCGUCAGUCGCAUCUCCUUUUUCACUCUGCCGAGAGAUCUGAUUAAACCUGAGGGAAGAAAAUGGAAAAAAUAAAAUAAAAAGGAAGAUAUGUAAAAUCGUUUUGAGUCAACCACGUAAUGAGCAGAAACUCACUAAUCCGGCUCUGCGUGGAGACAUAAUUUUCCCACCAGCCGCAGGAGACGAGAAGUAGUGCAACAGGAAUCAG